Rhincodon typus (whale shark) is the source of this 412-nucleotide long non-coding RNA. RefSeq lists it as uncharacterized. The record is from RefSeq and is a predicted model, not a curated record. The transcript is spliced from 2 exons. NCBI's taxonomy places the organism in Eukaryota, Metazoa, Chordata, Chondrichthyes, Orectolobiformes, Rhincodontidae.
UCCUGGCGUGAGGCGUGCCUCUGAGCCUCUUCCAAUUGUGGCGCUUCAACACACACGGGGAGCUCCCUACCUCCCGAUUCAACCCGUGGGGCCUGCAGCAAUGGAGACUGACGAACAGUCACUGCCUUUGCUGUUUUGUCAGCGAACCUAUUCCCCUUAGAAACUUCAUCCCCUGCAGAGGACAAGAGAACAAAGAACAGUAAAGAGCCAGCAGACAUGGAUUCAGCUGGGGCUGCCCUGAUCUCAAUGCAGGAGGAAGAUCUGAAGAUCAGCAAGAAGACGGAAGUACAUACCUUUGCUGAGAUGCGCCCCUAAGGGCUAUGGACAGCAUAAACUAUCACACUACCACUAAGCACUGAGUUCCCACUCAUGUUGAACCUAUGUCAUUAAAGGCAACUAGGGAUGAACAGCA